Long non-coding RNA from Cervus elaphus (red deer), 1182 nucleotides. RefSeq lists it as uncharacterized. The transcript is spliced from 3 exons. NCBI's taxonomy places the organism in Eukaryota, Metazoa, Chordata, Mammalia, Artiodactyla, Cervidae. The record is from RefSeq and is a predicted model, not a curated record.
UCCGCGCUCGACUCUCGCGUCUUCGCGGCUCUUGAGCAAGGUCCCCCUAGCCUGGGGCUCGCAGUGGCCCCCAGGGCUCACGCCGCCGGGCGGCCAACCCGCGGCGAGACACCCCCCCACCCCCGAAGCCGGGUCCAAUGGCGGCCGGGCGAGGCGGGACUUCCGUCAGGGUAGAGCGAAGGGGGCGGGCGCGCGGGGGGCUCUGGGGGCUCCGAGGGGGGAGUGUGAGCCGCUCGGCUCUCACAGAGGCUUCGCCUCCGGGCUGUGAGAGCGGGACGACCUUCGGGUCGUCUGCUCGCCCGCCCCGCGCCUCCCGCUGCCAGUGAGGUCACAGGGCUCGAAUCAGGGCUGAGUCGGGAACGAAAUCCAUCCCGCUCCUGGCUCCUGGCUGGAGUCCUGGGCUCCCACCCGCCUUCCUCGCAGCCGCUUGUUGCCACGCCUCUUCUAUAGUUUCUCCAUCUCCUCCACCCCACCCGCCUCAGGUCCUGUUUCUUCAGGGAGAUGAUGAGAAUUUCUGCCUCACGAGAUUGUUACGAGGGUGAAAUCUACGUGAUGGCGCGUUGGAAACGGUACUCCGCUAGGGAAAGGACCAGGGGGCCCUUGCAGGGCGGAGUGCUGCUGGGCGGCUGUGAAGGUCACGCCCCCUCCCUCUCCGCCCUCAUUGCUCAGAAGUGAGAGAGGGCCUUAAGUUCUGUGCAGCCGUCCUCGAAGCGAGGCUCCGCCUGUGUGAGUUCAGUGAAUUCCAGCUUCAAAAGGCGAGAUCUCAGUGGGGGCUAGCUCUGAAGCUGGGUCACCAUUUUCAGCUGGAAGGACCUAAAAUGUGCUUUUAAGAUGUGGCCGUAUCGCGUUAUUUUUGUCCAAACAGUUAAAUUCAACAAGUAUUUUCUAUUAUUUACUUUCUCUCUGCGUUGGACAGAAGGGUGAGGGAGUUUUUUCGCUGAAGGUUUUUUCCUGUUCUUGAGCCUUGGGACUAUUAAUGAAUGGCUGUAUCUGGUGAGGCUGAUAAAAUGACCCAUUUUAUAUCAAGAGGGAACCCUACUUUGAAGUUUAGCCUCUUCUGGCUGGAUGGCAUCACUGACUCGAUGGGCAUGAGUUUGAGUAGACUCCCGGAGCUGGUGAUGGACAGGGAGGCCUGGCAUGCUGCUAUUCAUGGGGUCGCAGAGAGUCGGACACGACUGAGCG